Molecule: ribosomal RNA, 460 nt
Filed under: uncultured bacterium
Lineage: Bacteria
Description: partial 16S ribosomal RNA
Rfam family: Bacterial small subunit ribosomal RNA
Source: RNAcentral
CCUACGGGAGGCAGCAGUGAGGAAUAUUGGUCAAUGGACGAGAGUCUGAACCAGCCAAGUAGCGUGAAGGAUGACUGCCCUAUGGGUUGUAAACUUCUUUUAUAAAGGAAUAAAACGAGGCACGUGUGCCUUUUUGCAUGUACUUUAUGAAUAAGGAUCGGCUAACGCCGUGCCAGCAGCCGCGGUAAUACGGAGGAUCCGAGCGUUAUCCGGAUUUAGUGGGUUUAAAGGGAGCGUAGAUGGGUUGUUAAGUCAGUUGUGAAAGUUUGCGGCUCACCCGUAAAAUUGCAAUUGAUACUGGCAGUCUUGAGUACAGUUGAGGUAGGCGGAAUUCGUGGUGUAGCGGUGAAAUGCUUAGAUAUCACGAAGAACCCCGAUUGCGAAGGCAGCUUACUAAACUGUGACUGACAUUGAUGCUCGAAAGUGUGGGUAUCAAACAGGAUUAGAUACCCCUGUAGUC